GGGACGGUAGCUCAGCUGGUAGAGCGCUAGACUGAAGAUCUAGUUGUCGCGUGUUCAAGUCACGCCCGUCCCACCA
Molecule: transfer RNA, 76 nt
Filed under: archaeon
Lineage: Archaea
Also listed under: 1 other name
Description: tRNA-Phe
Rfam family: tRNA
About the family: Transfer RNA (tRNA) molecules are approximately 80 nucleotides in length. Their secondary structure includes four short double-helical elements and three loops (D, anti-codon, and T loops). Further hydrogen bonds mediate the characteristic L-shaped molecular structure. tRNAs have two regions of fundamental functional importance: the anti-codon, which is responsible for specific mRNA codon recognition, and the 3' end, to which the tRNAs corresponding amino acid is attached (by aminoacyl-tRNA synthetases). tRNAs cope with the degeneracy of the genetic code in two manners: having more than one tRNA (with a specific anti-codon) for a particular amino acid; and 'wobble' base-pairing, i.e. permitting non-standard base-pairing at the 3rd anti-codon position.
Source: RNAcentral